Long non-coding RNA from Bufo bufo (common toad), 443 nucleotides. RefSeq lists it as uncharacterized. The record is from RefSeq and is a predicted model, not a curated record. The transcript is spliced from 2 exons. NCBI's taxonomy places the organism in Eukaryota, Metazoa, Chordata, Amphibia, Anura, Bufonidae.
UGCACGAACGACAGGAUCACCCGAUGAACAAAUGUUUAGCUCAUCCGGUGAUCCUGUCAUUCCUGCAGGCUCGUAAAUUAUGGUGCCUGCACGCGCUGUGUAAAUCCACCUUACGGUUAAGCAAUCUACAGGAUUAGUAAAUCUGCCCCGGGAAUGCUGUUGAUCCUUUCCAUAGACAUGUUAUGGAGCACAGGGACAGAUACUCAACCUCUGCUGUAUUAUAAUUCCUUCUGAUGUGGUCAUCAAUGAAGAGAAACUAGGGGUUCACAGCAGUGGGGCCCCCAGCGAUGAGAUAUUUAUCACCUUAUCUUGUGAAUAGGAAAUAAAUAUUAAUUGUGGGAAAAACCCUUUAUGGUAAUUGUAAUUUUUUAAAAUAUUAUGCCUAUGCCAGACUUUAGUAUCCAAAUGUAUGCCAAAUGAGUGUAUACUUCUUUAUACUUUUU